ACCCCAUGAUGAGAGCACUUACGAAGUAAGUCUUUGAAUCUCUCCCUUGCCUCAUACAAAGAUUCGUCAUCCAAUUGUUGAAAAGUGGUUAUCUCAUUUCGCAAUUU
Molecule: small nucleolar RNA, 107 nt
Organism: Gossypium raimondii (Peruvian cotton)
Lineage: Eukaryota; Viridiplantae; Streptophyta; Magnoliopsida; Malvales; Malvaceae
Rfam family: Plant small nucleolar RNA R71
About the family: R71 is a member of the C/D box family of snoRNAs containing the C (UGAUGA) and D (CUGA) box motifs. Multiple nearly identical copies of this snoRNA have been identified in Arabidopsis, and it is thought to function as a 2'-O-ribose methylation guide for 18S ribosomal RNA.
Source: Rfam